RNAcentral lists this ribosomal RNA (497 nucleotides) under uncultured bacterium. RNAcentral describes it as "partial 16S ribosomal RNA". It matches the Rfam family "Bacterial small subunit ribosomal RNA", at positions 28 to 507 of the family's 1533-position model. The record is from RNAcentral.
GAUGAACGCUGGCGGAGUGCCUAAUACAUGCAAGUCGAGCGAACGGACGAGAAGCUUGCUUCUCUGAUGUUAGCGGCGGACGGGUGAGUAACACGUGGAUAACCUACCUAUAAGACUGGGAUAACUUCGGGAAACCGGAGCUAAUACCGGAUGAUAUUUUGAACCGCAUGGUUCAAAAGUGAAAGACGGUCUUGCUGUCACUUAUAGAUGGAUCCGCGCUGCAUUAGCUAGUUGGUAAGGUAACGGCUUACCAAGGCAACGAUGCAUAGCCGACCUGAGAGGGUGAUCGGCCACACUGGAACUGAGACACGGUCCAGACUCCUACGGGAGGCAGCAGUAGGGAAUCUUCCGCAAUGGGCGAAAGCCUGACGGAGCAACGCCGCGUGAGUGAUGAAGGUCUUCGGAUCGUAAAACUCUGUUAUUAGGGAAGAACAUAUGUGUAAGUAACUGUGCACAUCUUGACGGUACCUAAUCAGAAAGCCACGGCUAACUACGUG